UUGGAAGACAACUGGUCCAGGAACACCUCGGCCCUCUUUCUGCUGGAGUCCUGGCCCAGUACCUCCUUGUACUCCACCAGGGAGAACACCUUGUCGUUCACCAGGGUUUCCUGGUCGACCUCGCGGGUUUUUGUUUCUUCUGCUUCGUGAUGAACCACUUCUUGGCUCCACUCCCGAACAUCUUGAGGCUGACGAGUUGGACCAAGGCUUCUUCAACGGUUCUUUCGAUACAGCGACUGAGAGAGAAAGAUCGCAUGUUGAUGUUUCAAACCGGUGAGGCUACCAUCCAUGACACGUCCUGCAUCCCCUGGUGGAGAAGCCUAGGCAUCAACAUGUCCUACCAUCUCCCCCUGGAAACAAACACCCGUCCCGGCUUUGUUGUGGUUCACUGAGUGUCUGGGACAGGAAGAGACUAAUCUGGACAGUGGCCUGCAGCAAAAUCCCACUGUAGCCUGGUGCUGAUGGAUGAGAUAAGAGGAUUAUCAGAGUUGUCUAAGUACACUGCUCCAAACUGCUCAGUGCCACUGGUGCACCUGGAAGACACCACAUGGGUUCAAUGUCAGUUUGGUUAUGGUUACUUGAUUCAAAAAAUCUAUUUUUAGUGUUUCUGUUCAUGCAUUGAAUAUACUGUUUGUCUAGAUUUGGAUCCAUCCCGAAGAGAAAUGAUCCAGUCAAUGGUCACAGGAUGUACGCUGACCUAGGAUCAGACCCAAUACCAGGCUGGAUACAGGGUGUAUCUUACUCAUUAGACUGAUCCUAGAUCAAUACUCCGACUCUCAGUCUGGAUACAGGCCCUGUGUCUAAUUCAUUACACUGAUCCUAGAUCUGUUACAGGCCGUGGAGUUGCAUGUAUCAAGUGUCCUUGUUUAGUAUUGCGGAUCCAGGAUCAGCCUUUCUAGAUUAUAAUGAGGAAGAAUACAGCUAUCAUGCUUUGUCUAUAAAAAAUGUAAUAUUGCCAGAUUAGACCUCCUACUCAAUAAAGACCUUUGAUAAUACAGA
Molecule: long non-coding RNA, 999 nt
Organism: Esox lucius (northern pike)
Lineage: Eukaryota; Metazoa; Chordata; Actinopteri; Esociformes; Esocidae
Exons: 2
Source: RefSeq, a predicted model, not a curated record